CUUAACAGAUAAUCUAGAGUAACUAUCAGCCAACUUCAUGAAGCCACUGAGAAACACUAAGUAGACACAGGUUUGAAAGAAAAAAAAUUAAAGGAGGACAUAAAAAUAAAAAGUAAGGCAAAAUGUAAUAAACAGAUACAGACGCUAUCCUUGUAUAAGAAAAGACUGGCAUCACACAAAAACUGUAAUAGAAUUGUCACUGGGAAGUAUUUGCCCAAAUAGAGACUAUAUCCUCCAGACCAAUCGGUAGGUACAUAAGUCCAUGUUAAUAGUUCUUGCACAUAAAUAUGAAUAAUGUGAUGUGUUUCCUAAGAAUAGUAA
Molecule: long non-coding RNA, 321 nt
Filed under: Macaca mulatta (Rhesus monkey)
Lineage: Eukaryota; Metazoa; Chordata; Mammalia; Primates; Cercopithecidae
Description: lncRNA (ENSMMUG00000044957.2)
Source: RNAcentral